AUCUAGUUGACGAGUCUCAUGUAGGACGAAACACGCGUCAAACUGGAU
This is a non-coding RNA of Schistosoma mansoni, 48 nucleotides long. The record is from Rfam. Lineage: Eukaryota; Metazoa; Platyhelminthes; Trematoda; Strigeidida; Schistosomatidae.